RNAcentral lists this transfer RNA (90 nucleotides) under Methylorubrum rhodesianum. RNAcentral's name for it is "tRNA-OTHER". Lineage: Bacteria; Pseudomonadati; Pseudomonadota; Alphaproteobacteria; Hyphomicrobiales; Methylobacteriaceae. The record is from RNAcentral.
UCCCCGCGGUAACGUCAUCGAACAAAAUCAAUGACAUCACCCCGACUGUUAAUCGCUUUGUCGCAGGUUCGAGUCCUGCUCGGGGAGCCA